ACAUUUAACCAUUGCAGUGUUUUUUUUAAUAUAGGGCUACAUUCCAAAAAGCAAAUGGGAGAUGGACACAUCUGAGGCCAAACUCGACAAGCUGGACGGUCUGGGCAGCGGCGGGAAGAGGAAACGUGAAGGUGAACACAUGUCAGGCCUGGAGGACUACCUUCAGCUGCCAGACGACUAUGCCACACGCAUGUCUCAGCCGGGAAAGAAAAGGGUCCGAUGGGCUGAUCUUGAAGAGCAAAAGGACGCAGAUCGAAAGCGCGCUAUUGGUUUUGUGGUGGGUCAAACGGACUGGGAGAGAAUAACGGACGAGAGCGGCCAGCUGGCACAAAGAGCUCUUAACCGUACCAAGUAUUUCUAAGAAGAAAAUGCCUUUUUUUCGGUUCACUAAAAGGUGUCCAGAAUGUGAAAACACUGAAGCUUCUCAGCGGCGAAACAUUCGUUGAACAGUUCUUUCUCAGUUGAUGUAUUAAGACAGAUAUGACAUCGUUUUUUUUUUGGUUUGUUUUUUUUUUGGUCAUCUGGAUAUUCACCAAUGAAUUUGUAGUUUCUAAUUCUGUGCUACUUCUGGUAACGCAUCCCGCUUCGUUCGUUGCUGUUUUAUACUAUUCCUACUUCAUGUACUGUGUACUUGUAGCACUAUUUCUUGGUCCAUGCAUAGUUGAAAACGACAAUAAAGGUUUCACAAAAAUGUAAA
This is a long non-coding RNA of Stegastes partitus (bicolor damselfish), 697 nucleotides long. RefSeq lists it as uncharacterized. The transcript is spliced from 4 exons. NCBI's taxonomy places the organism in Eukaryota, Metazoa, Chordata, Actinopteri, Pomacentridae. The record is from RefSeq and is a predicted model, not a curated record.